RNAcentral lists this ribosomal RNA (433 nucleotides) under uncultured bacterium. RNAcentral describes it as "partial 16S ribosomal RNA". It matches the Rfam family "Bacterial small subunit ribosomal RNA", at positions 29 to 507 of the family's 1533-position model. The record is from RNAcentral.
AGCGAACGCUGGCGGCAGGCCUAACACAUGCAAGUCGAACGAACUCUUCGGAGUUAGUGGCGGACGGGUGAGUAACACGUGGGAACGUGCCUUUAGGUUCGGAAUAACUCAGGGAAACUUGUGCUAAUACCGAAUGUGCCCUUCGGGGGAAAGAUUUAUCGCCUUUAGAGCGGCCCGCGUCUGAUUAGCUAGUUGGUGAGGUAAAGGCUCACCAAGGCGACGAUCAGUAGCUGGUCUGAGAGGAUGAUCAGCCACAUUGGGACUGAGACACGGCCCAAACUCCUACGGGAGGCAGCAGUGGGGAAUCUUGCGCAAUGGGCGAAAGCCUGACGCAGCCAUGCCGCGUGAAUGAUGAAGAUCUUAGGAUUGUAAAAUUCUUUCACCGGGGACGAUAAUGACGGUACCCGGAGAAGUAGCCCCGGCUAACUUCGUG